This 494-nucleotide long non-coding RNA is filed under the name Cicer arietinum (chickpea). Its description in RNAcentral is "long non-coding RNA (CARI_LNC003361)". Lineage: Eukaryota; Viridiplantae; Streptophyta; Magnoliopsida; Fabales; Fabaceae. The record is from RNAcentral.
GUCUCCAUCUUUGCGGUUUUCGUUGAACUUAGGAUUGCUCUUUGCAUUGAUUGAGCUUCAAAGUUCAAAGUAAUCUGUUUAUCAGUUUAUGGGACCGUUUUGCUUAAAUCUAAUAAUGACGAUGGUUUAAUACGGCCCAUAAAUAAUAAAAGGCCCGAAAAAUCAAACAAUUUCACCGUAACUCAAAAAACCCAAAGUUUGUACUUCAACGCUGAAAUCCCAAAGCAUAUAAAAAAAAAAAAAAACACAUUUUAAAGACCCGCACGUUAAACAUCAAGCACCAUAACCUUCAUCUAGCAUUAGCAACUCCAACCCUUUAAAUCACCCAUCAUCACUAAAUGACAAGAUUCACAUUCAGCUUCCCCUGUUUCCAACUUCACUAAAACCAUAAACAAAAAAAUAGAAAGGAGAAUAAUUAGAGCAUAUAUCAAUAUUUAAAUAGUGGAGGAAAGUACGGAUUGCACCAUUCUAGAAAUGACGAGAUCUAAAGAAAG